ACAAACUCCAAACAAAGUCUUAGUUAGUAAAUCAAAAUUAAUAAAUGAAGUUCGUAAAUCAAACACGAAAUUAUCAAAUUUUCCCAUCUCACUUUUUCAAUCUUGUCAUCUUCAGGUUAAUCCACUUCUUAUUGUUCUUCUUCUUGCAUCACCAACUUCAUCUUUUUCACUUUCUUUCUCUCCCUCUUUCUUUGAUAAUACCUUCAUCUUCAUCUCCAUCGUUUUCAUCUUUCUUUCCCCCAAUCUGCUUCAAUAACAUCUCUCCUCUUUUUUGCCAAAAAUUGCCAAAAGAGUUAGUCCAUAGUUACAUGACC
This 314-nucleotide long non-coding RNA is filed under the name Ananas comosus (pineapple). RNAcentral's name for it is "long non-coding RNA (ACOM_LNC013602)". The record is from RNAcentral. Lineage: Eukaryota; Viridiplantae; Streptophyta; Magnoliopsida; Poales; Bromeliaceae.